This 506-nucleotide ribosomal RNA is filed under the name uncultured bacterium. RNAcentral's name for it is "partial 16S ribosomal RNA". It matches the Rfam family "Bacterial small subunit ribosomal RNA", at positions 29 to 523 of the family's 1533-position model. The record is from RNAcentral.
AGUGAACGCUGGCGGUAGGCCUAACACAUGCAAGUCGAACGGCAGCACAGAGGAGCUUGCUCCAUGGGUGGCGAGUGGCGGACGGGUGAGGAAUACAUCGGAAUCUACCCUGUCGCGGGGGAUAACGUAGGGAAACUUACGCUAAUACCGCAUGCGACCUACGGGUGAAAGCAGGGGAUCUUCGGGCCUUGCGCGAUUGAAUGAGCCGAUGUCGGAUUAGGUAGUUGGCGGGGUAAAGGCCCAGCAAGGCGACGAUCCGUAGCUGGUCUGAGAGGAUGAUCAGCCACACUGGAACUGAGACACGGUCCAGACUCCUACGGGAGGCAGCAGUGGGGAAUAUUGGACAAUGGGCGCAAGCCUGAUCCAGCCAUACCGCGUGGGUGAAGAAGGCCUUCGGGUUGUAAAGCCCUUUUGUUGGGAAAGAAAUCCAGCUGGUUAAUACCCGAGUGUGAUGACGGUACCCAAAGAAUAAGCACCGGCUAACUUCGUGCCAGCCGCCGCGGUAA